GCAGCUCAGUUGGCAGAGUGGGAGACUGCUGAUCUCAGGGUUGGGGGUUCAAGCCCCAUGUUGGGCA
Podarcis lilfordi (Lilford's wall lizard) is the source of this 67-nucleotide non-coding RNA. The record is from the annotation of a GenBank genome assembly. Lineage: Eukaryota; Metazoa; Chordata; Lepidosauria; Squamata; Lacertidae.